Molecule: ribosomal RNA, 490 nt
Filed under: uncultured bacterium
Lineage: Bacteria
Description: partial 16S ribosomal RNA
Rfam family: Bacterial small subunit ribosomal RNA
Source: RNAcentral
AUUGAACGCUGGCGGCAGGCCUAACACAUGCAAGUCGAACGGUAACAGGAAGCAGCUUGCUGCUUUGCUGACGGGUGGCGGACGGGUGAGUAAUGUCUGGGAAACUGCCUGAUGGAGGGGGAUAACUACUGGAAACGGUAGCUAAUAGCGCAUAACGUCGCAAGCACAAAGAGGGGGGCCUUCGGGCCUCUUGCCAUCGGAGGCGCCCAAAUGGGAUUAGCUAGUAGGUGGGUUAACGGCUCACCUAGGCGACGAUCCCUAGCUGGUCUGAGAGGAGGGCCUGCCACCCUGGACCUCAGCCACGGUCCCGGCUCCUACGGGAGGCAGCAGACGGCAAUAUUGCACAAUGGGCGCAAGCCUGCUGCAGCCAUGCCGCGUGUAUGGAGAAGGCCUUCGGGUUGUAAAGUACUUUCAGCGGGGAGGAAGGGAGUAAAGUUAAUACCUUUGCUCAUUGACGUUACCCGCAGAAGAAGCACCGGCUAACUCCGUG